Long non-coding RNA from Gasterosteus aculeatus aculeatus (three-spined stickleback), 5936 nucleotides. The record is from Ensembl. Lineage: Eukaryota; Metazoa; Chordata; Actinopteri; Perciformes; Gasterosteidae.
UGUGUGUGUUUCCAUUUGAAAAGUGUAUAUCUUUAAGAGUUUAAAUCUCCUCUUGUGGCACAGCGGAAAUCGGCACAGAGAAAAAACGAUUAGCCGAUGAGCAUGUCCCUUCUCCCUAAGCCCUCCAGCAUCUCAGCAACAGCAUUCCACAUCAGUGAAUCAGAAUCAGAGGCGAGACACUAGAUGCUCGGCUGAGACGCGGGGUGGACUACACAUAAGGGGAUUGCCUCAACUGAGACGCCGCCAUCUUGAGCGGCCCCGACCUGACAAAUGGGAUAAAAUGACAGAUGAGGUAAAUGUUUGUUGGCCUUGUUAAUUAUUCAGCAGCCUCAUGACGCAGCGCAUUUAAAACCACGACUGAAAACUAUUGUCUUCACAAAGCAGAGUAUCAGCGCUCUACAGUUUCCGGAUGCCCAACAAUAACUCACGCGGCAGAAAAACAAUCAUGUGAGAGCGAUGUCAGGGUGCUAUUAAAUAUAUAUUGCAGCUGUUCCCCAUGAGUGGUUAAAGGUAAGUGAUUUGUGACAUUUCUUCUUGUGCCGAACGAAAGAGAAGAGCACAAAGAGCAGCGAGGAAAAUAAAGGGAAAGUGGUCAAUUGUCAGCUGUUCAUUUCAGCAAAGCUUACUGAUGCCUGAGUGGCACUGAACGGCUCUCGGCAGCAGGUUGAAGUCGUCUUACAGCCAGUAAUGGUCAGGGGCUCCAUCACCUCGGACUUAUCUCCAAAGUAAAAACAGCCUUUCACCCUGACAGCGAGGCCGACCCGGCCGUGUUACCUUGCAAGGAUUUGUUAUUACAAAGAUAUUGAAGUUGCUCGUCCAUCUGAUUUCACAUCUGUGCGUCCGAGCGAGACUGUGUGUGUGUGUGUGUGUGUGUCUCCAAGCAAGUGAUGCACAGCCACAGAUGACUGCGUAGUCUCAUCUUCACCUUUUUUUUUUUUAUUUAGUCCUGAAUCAAUCCCCAGAGUGUAACAAUACCUAUUAUUCGCUCUAUAAUUGGACUGUACGGCCGCACAUGUGAUGCCGGCGGAUGAGAGCUCCUACUGACAGUGGUGCCCGGCCUAUUAAUGGUAUUUUUUCUGGCAGCAAGGACGCCAGGAAUUUACCGUUAUUUUACGGUAUAAUACCGUCAAUGGUUUUUACACUAUGUUACGUAAAAUGGAUUACUGUAUGUUACCGUAAAAUUGAACGAAUUUUACUGUGAACUAACUGCAAUUUACUAGCAGUCGACGCUAGUAACUUACUGUUUUAUUUACAGUGCCCUACUGUAAUUUACAGUAUGUUGUCGUAUAUUGGAUAACAGUUUGUUACCAUACGAUUACUGUUUUUGUGUUAUAAAUACCAGAAUGUUACCGUUUACUUAUAACCGUAUACUUUUGCAUUUGAUUCCACACAAAUUAAAGAAAGACAUCCAAACUCAUUUUGGUCAUAGUGGUUGGAGUUUAUUAUAUGCCUUUAAGACAAAAAUGUUAGGUAUUUGUAAACAAGAACAAAACAUAAAAUAUGCCGCUUGUAUACAAUAAUAAAAAAAAUGAAUCAUAAAAUCAUUAGGAACAAGAUAAACUAACUGCAACAAUACGCUAUGCAACACUUUCAAUUGACUGCAGCAAACGGCUGGCGUCCUUAAUCCCUCUGUAAAACAAACCAAAAUUAAAUAUUUAGAAACACUGUCAUUGGUAAAAUAUUAAAAUUACAAAGUUGAGGAAGACAACAAGAUGUAAGGAAGGAGAACAUUAAUCAUGUUAGGCAAAUAAAACUUACCAACGUUACUUGGAUAGACGAGGCAAUGAGAAACUCCUCUGGUGUUGAACUGCACAGGUGUUCUGGAUGAACUGAGAUUACGCGUCUGACGUCACGUUCAGGCGCAGUCGGUCACGAUUAACACUCAAAUUACUUUUAGGCAAUGAACACUUUGAAUAAUACAAAUAUUUAUAAUCUUUACAUUCCGGCCACUGAAACGACAGCGAAGGCGGCGCGUGGAAUAGGGAGGUUUGUGCUGUGCAGCGUAAGGUCGGCGGUUUGAAUCCUGGCUGCUCCCUGUGCCAAGUCGAAGUGUCCCUGAGCAAGACACCUAACCCCCAAUUACUCUACAUAAAAUUAUGUCAAACCAUGGGCGUUUUGGAUAAAAGUGACAGCUGCAUGUAUAGUAAUGUCCUGUAAGUCAAAGUCAUCUAUCUCAUUAUGAUGACUUACAAGACCUGUAAUUCAGUGGCUGACAUGGGCUUCCAUACAUUAACCUACAACAGAUGUAGAGGGAUUGUGAUUCACUGCAUUUGUAUGUGGAUUUCCACCACUUCAUAAAAUAUAUGUUAACAUGCAGUUAAAUUAUGGUAGUCUGCUAUUAUUGUAAAUUGACAGCUUUAACUGUUUUUUCAUGACAUUGGCUGUUAAUUUACAAGCACGGGAUGGAAAUUUAACUGUAUGUUACAGUUAUUAUGACAUACUGUAAGAUACCGUUAGAAAUGCACCGUAAAUUUACAGCAAUUUGUUACAGUGUGGUGUAAUAGUGUCGAAGACUUCCGUGUAUGACAUAGAAUACCGUGGCAAACCAUAAAAACUUAGCAGGAUAACAUGGGAACAGAAACAUUCAAAACCUCGAGUGAAUAGAUUUUGUGAUAAAUAUAUAACAUUGUGUGUAUUUCGUUUAGUUUGAAUGCAUUGGUGUAACAAUUAUUACUGGUUGGUCAUUUGUUUAUUUAUUUUCAUUUAAUCGUUUUGAGAAUUAUCUUCACAAUCUGAUAUAUGAGGCCACGGUGCACAUCAUUUAAUUUAUUAAUUUAUUUACAACUUUCUAUGAUCAAGUGCUGCGUUAUGUACGUAUGACACACUUUGUAUGUUAUUUCUAACGGAAAGCGCAUUGGGGGAACGGUUUAAUGACUUCACCUAAAGUUUAGUAUAUCCAUCACGAUGUGCCCUCCUGACACUUUGGUCACUAGCAGCAGGCGGUAUGAUGUGGCUGAAGUGUAAGUGGCUCUCAGAAUGCAGGAUAGCCUGUCAGACGGAGGCCCUCAGGGGAACAACUUCACGCCGUGUCUGGUUCCAGAAUGGCCUUCACGCACACUCCCUCUCGUUCUGUCUCAUUCUCUGUGUGUGUGUGUGUGUGUGUGUGUGUGUGUGUGGGUGUGUGUCCGAAGUCGACUUGGAAGCUGGUCUCUCUCGUUUGGCGUGUGUGGGUGGUAGAGCCAGAGGGUGGAGGGUGUAAAUCUCUGUCCGGCAGCACGCUGCGAUGGGUGUUUGGGGAGCGGUUGGAAAGCUGGCUCACAGGCGCUCAGAUUGAUGAAGUGAUUGUGAUGGAUGGAGGUAAUAAAGGCCUGGAUGUCCUGUCUGUUGCCAGUGACGAGGCUGGUAUGAAUCACCCGUCUGGGGCUGCUGAACAUGACGCUACCCCAAUUCCCAGGGCCCCUCCACCCUUCCACCUCGCUCCGUCCCUCCGACCCCUUUUAUCUCUCCGCCUGUUGACUUACCGUGGUGACGAGGAGAUCGCUGCUUGACUGGAAGGCGGCGUAAACGUUCAACAGUAUUCCAUUUCUGCAUCAAUCUGUGCUGAUGCACACUUCAUUUUGAAUACAACAAUAUCAUGAAGCUAGUUCACCCGUCCCCGAAACGCAGCGCGCACGCAGUUCAAAGCAUUGCGAGGCGUUCAUUAAUUUUGUGCCCAAACAUCACUUGUUGAGUGAUUGCGAGACAUGCGUGAGAAAAAAAAAAAUCCAAUCAACUCAGCCAGCAACUCCUCGUGAAUAAGGUCAUUUGACUAAAGGCGGCCAUCGGAAAUUGCGGUGUUUGUGUCAACAUAACAAGUUAAUGAUCUUGGAUGAUAAUUGGUAGUUGGAUACUGCCGGCGUUGCGCUGUGGCACCGUUGAGGUUCAGCGACGGGGACCUCGUGUGAUAAAAGAAGCAGGCGUGAGGGCUUUUAAAGUGGCACGAUGCUGUAGGCGACAAUUCAUCACGAGCCCCAUGAAUAUUCAUCCAGCGCUCUCCGCGCUUCCUCCGGGGCUGGUGAAAACACGUCUGCAUUAAGUCUCUUCUCCGCGCUGCAGUUUGAAGACACCUGACCCUCCUGGCCUCUCAUUACCACACUGUGCUCUCGCUGCGGCCCCGCGCUCGGCAUGCCUGCCGGGGGGGGGGGAAAGUCGUGCUUCAUUAAAAUAAAGAGGAAAUUCUCCCGCUCUGUGCACUAACAAGGCAGAGGUCAGACAAGUCGGAUGAUUGUGAGUUCACCCCUUCUGCAGACAAUUCGCAGGGGGUCAGAGCUGAUGAUUGUGAUUGAGCUUGUUCUAUAAAUGAUGCACAAGCCCGAGCGGAGAGGCCCGGGCGGUGCGGUCUCUGCGUGGAGCCCGUCCGGGGACAGUUGUUCGCCCGCGAGUGCCACCAAAUCGGUUCGCUUCUUCAGACCUCGCAGGCUUCUCAGCACUGUGCCCAGAUUGCAGUUUAGGGACGGGGGAUCUUGACUGACAGGCGUUGGUCUGGGCCGUCCCUGGGGGGGGAGGGUGGGGGAGAGGAUUUGUAAUGCCUCCACUGACUCAUACUUCUCUCGCAGAUUUCUCCAGGCUGGUUUCAGACUGUCAGGCUGAGAGAGAAAGCUCCCUCUGCAUAAUUCAUUAGAUCUCCUUUCUGUUUCCCUCUUGGCGGUUGUGUGGCAGGCAGCGUAGCCCCAUUGUUUAAGAAGAAAGAGUAAUAGAGCUUGUCACAAUAUGUUACCAGAGUUUAUUGUUCGGAGCAACAGUUUGGAAACAAUUUAACUUCCAUUGAAAAGAGCUUUCUCCUUCCCCAGUGUGGAACAAUUAUGAAAAAAAAAAACGGAAUAAUCAGACGGCCGCAAAGAACGAACACCUAUAAACCACCAUAUUUCAUUUGUAAUAAGCCAGACCUAUAAACAACUUUGGACAGUGGACCCAAACAGGAAAGAGCUUUAGAGGUUGCUUUCACACAGAGCAUCGCUUCGCAGCCAAUUAUCCCACACGCGUGACACGUGCACAGGCGCGUCCUUUUGAAGCGUGUACGCCGUCUCGGGUCAAAAACGAUCUGGCAUUUAUUUUGCGGAAACCUGAAAAGAAAAAACAUCUCGCGGUUGAUGCUACAUGACAUUCCCUUUCACAGAAUAUGACUAAACAAGCACACCCUCAACCACACGAUGCAACGUGUUGCAGCAGCCGGAGGACAACUGCAUGUGAAACAGGGCCGAUGCAGAGUUGUGUUGACCUCUAAAACACCUCCGCAGAGAUGUUGCUGAGGGCGCUGCUCUUUGUUGUCUCUGCGCUGGCAUGCUCUAUGAAAUGAUUCUUGGAAUGGAAUCUCUGGUUUCAGGCAUUUUCAGUUUGCCGUUACAACAAUAAAGUUCAAGAGCGAAUCUGUUCAAUAGUCGACGUGGCGCAGGGGUAGAGAGGGUGCGCUGAUAACUGCAAGGUUGGUGGUUCGACCCCCGGCUGCACCAUGGCCCAUGUUGAAGUGUAAUUGUUCCCCAGGCAAAACUGUAAAAAGCUAUGGGUUAAAAAUGCAAUGCAAAGUCGCUUUGGAUAAAAGCGUCAGCUAAAUGACCUGUAAUGCAAUAGCAACUGAUCGGUAACUAACGCAAGGCAGAAAACUUAACGUAGAUCAUUGAGGAGUCUUGCUUUGUUUGGCAGAACAUGAAUGACGUAAAACAAAUGUUUUGUUGUUGAUAUGCAGAAAAUAUAAGCAAAGAAAUUCUACAUUUGUAUGAAACUUUUCCAAUAUAUACUCAUGCUGAAAAAAAAAAAACUUGACUUCCCCUGUAAACUUCUAAAUUAUCCGGCAGAAUUAAAGUUGCUGGUUCCGUUCUGUCCUGAAUGCCAUAGUUCCAUUUUGUCAAUAUAAAUCUUGAAAUUUAGAGUUCCCAUUUUGCAUACACAGCAAAACAAUUAUCGGGGGGAAAUAAUGCAAAACGAAACGCCCAUAAAAUGAGUGAAAUGAAUAUACAGUA